CGGAGCAACGCCCCGUGAGUGAUGAAGGUUUUCGGAUCGUAAAGCUCUGUUGUUAGGGAAGAACAAGUGCCGUUCAAAUAGGGCGGCACCUUGACGGUACCUAACCAGAAAGCCACGGCUAACUACGUGCCAGCAGCCGCGGUAAUACGUAGGUGGCAAGCGUUGUCCGGAAUUAUUGGGCGUAAAGGGCUCGCAGGCGGUUUCUUAAGUCUGAUGUGAAAGCCCCCGGCUCAACCGGGGAGGGUCAUUGGAAACUGGGGAACUUGAGUGCAGAAGAGGAGAGUGGAAUUCCACGUGUAGCGGUGAAAUGCGUAGAGAUGUGGAGGAACACCAGUGGCGAAGGCGACUCUCUGGUCUGUAACUGACGCUGAGGAGCGAAAGCGUGGGGAGCGAACAGGAUUAGAUACCCUGGUAGUCCACGCCGUAAACGAUGAGUGCUAAGUGUUAGGGGGUUUCCGCCCCUUAGUGCUGCAGCU
RNAcentral lists this ribosomal RNA (476 nucleotides) under Bacillus sp. ID1. Its description in RNAcentral is "bacterial SSU rRNA". It matches the Rfam family "Bacterial small subunit ribosomal RNA", at positions 387 to 853 of the family's 1533-position model. The record is from RNAcentral. Lineage: Bacteria; Bacillati; Bacillota; Bacilli; Caryophanales; Bacillaceae.